This 650-nucleotide ribosomal RNA is filed under the name Klebsiella pneumoniae. RNAcentral describes it as "partial 23S ribosomal RNA". It matches the Rfam family "Bacterial large subunit ribosomal RNA", at positions 2293 to 2925 of the family's 2925-position model. Lineage: Bacteria; Pseudomonadati; Pseudomonadota; Gammaproteobacteria; Enterobacterales; Enterobacteriaceae. The record is from RNAcentral.
AAGCGUAACGGAGGAGCACGAAGGUUAGCUAAUCCUGGUCGGACAUCAGGAGGUUAGUGCAAUGGCAUAAGCUAGCUUGACUGCGAGCGUGACGGCGCGAGCAGGUGCGAAAGCAGGUCAUAGUGAUCCGGUGGUUCUGAAUGGAAGGGCCAUCGCUCAACGGAUAAAAGGUACUCCGGGGAUAACAGGCUGAUACCGCCCAAGAGUUCAUAUCGACGGCGGUGUUUGGCACCUCGAUGUCGGCUCAUCACAUCCUGGGGCUGAAGUAGGUCCCAAGGGUAUGGCUGUUCGCCAUUUAAAGUGGUACGCGAGCUGGGUUUAGAACGUCGUGAGACAGUUCGGUCCCUAUCUGCCGUGGGCGCUGGAGAAUUGAGGGGGGCUGCUCCUAGUACGAGAGGACCGGAGUGGACGCAUCACUGGUGUUCGGGUUGUCAUGCCAAUGGCACUGCCCGGUAGCUAAAUGCGGAAGAGAUAAGUGCUGAAAGCAUCUAAGCACGAAACUUGCCCCGAGAUGAGUUCUCCCUGAGACUUUAAGUCUCCUGAAGGAACGUUGAAGACGACGACGUUGAUAGGCCGGGUGUGUAAGCGCAGCGAUGCGUUGAGCUAACCGGUACUAAUGAACCGUGAGGCUUAACCUUACAACGCCGAAG